This is a non-coding RNA of Arachis ipaensis, 1797 nucleotides long. NCBI's taxonomy places the organism in Eukaryota, Viridiplantae, Streptophyta, Magnoliopsida, Fabales, Fabaceae. The record is from RefSeq and is a predicted model, not a curated record.
CCCUACCCACACCCACUUCUCACCGUCACUCACUCACCCUCACCCCUCACUCACAGAAACCUCAACAAGAAAAGAAAAGGGGGGAAACAGAAAAGGGAAAUGAGAGGGAAGAGAAGAGGGAGACCGUGAGAGAGGGAGAACGCCAGGGGAGGAGGAGCUGUCGCGCCACCACCGUCGUCUCACCUGCGGCAUCACCACCAUCCAUCACGCCGCCACCACACUGCGUCGCCGCCGAAAACAGAGACACGAAGGAGAGGAGGCCGCGGGUCACUCUCCUCGAAGCUUUUGUCGUCACCGUGCAGAGCCGCCGCCACCGUCAUCAUCGCGGGCUGCUACUGCUGCGCGGGUGAUCGUCGCCGCCUUUGGGUCCAUCGCCACCGGGGAGAACCAUAGUUGUCGCCGAAGCUCCAGUCGUCGUCAGAAGCUGCUGCCGACGCCGAUCUGCAUGCGCCGUCACCGUUGAGAUCCUCCGCCGUCGUUGACGACCCAGCCGCCACCGAUCUGGUCCGAGAGAGAGGAGAUGUGAACAGAAGAGAAGGCGGGGAGCCACCGCCGCUGCUGCUGAGUCACCGAAGUUUCUGGACUGAGCUUCCGCCCCUUAAAAUCCGCUGCCGUCGCCGAAAAAAGCACUGCCGUUGUCGUCGUCGGAAUUCGUUGCCACCACCACCAUUAGAGGCGAACCCAGUUAUUUUCUCGCUGCCGGAGAGUUGUUUAUGCGUUUGAUUCCAUCAAAUUCGAAUCUAUUGUUGUUGUUGUGAGCGAAAUCGGAGUUGGUGAUGCUGCCAUCGUCCCUGUUGUGUUGGAAUCGCCACUGCUUCUGUGAGUUUAAACUAAGCGGGACUGUUGUGUUAAAUUAUGCGAUUGCGACAUCGAGGGUAGCGCAGCCGGAAACGUGACUUCUGAUAGUGAGGUGUUACAGUUUAAACCUAAUUUACCACGUUAACCUAAAUUACCAUACCCCCAAAUUGACUGAUGGUGGACCAUCUCUCCCAACCCCCCUUAUCCGCAUCCAGCGCCAAAUAGAAUCCUUUGUUGCCGUCUCCGCCGUCAAGAGAAAGUCAACGCCGGUAGACCACCAGACCACAACGUCGAGAGUACGGUCCGAUAGUUGCCGUGAAGCCGCUUGGUCUGUUGCAUGUGCUCAUCGGAGGUGCCUCGAAGAUGCAUCUGACUGUCCGGCCUUGUACAAGACGCAGCAACCCAGCAUGGACUCUCCACAAGCCGCGGCUGGAUUCAUAGGGCUAUGUGGGUUCGCUAGAAACUCCGUGGCUUUCUGGAUUCGCUCCUGCCACCAAGCGCCACUCGUUCACUGGCGGAUAAGCCCAAGUAGAAGCGUGUCUUCCCUUGGGCACCACUGCAACACUACGAGGUUAGUGGAUAUUUGAGAUCUAAAUUAGGUGCUUGUAUAGGUUUCUAAUUCUGAGUAUUAUAUUUUUGACCCUGCGCUUCCCAUGAGAGAUAAAGCCAUUAUACGCAACUAUAUUGCACCCACCAUAGGUGUUAUCGUUGACGUGGAUGCACAUUGAGCCAUAGCCAUAGCCUUCCAACACCAUAGGAUCAAGGUGAACAGCCCUCAAAGGUCACUGGUAACGUGAACAACCACUCUCAUUGACAAAUAGUUUUUAAAAUCCGUCGGAGUAAGGUGUACGUGUUUCCGUUGGAGGCGAGUGGACCAAAUUACGUUGAUGGAUCAAUCAAUUUGUGAAGAAGCAUCGUACGACACUACAUGUGAUAUGAGUGAUCAUCCUAAUUCCACCGACGUUAAUGUCCCAUCCCUGAGUGAAGAUGACACACAAC